AAAACUGUGUUGCUAUGAGCGGAGAGGUUUCACAAACAAAUUGUGCAUGUCGCAAAACACAAAUUUGAUCGUCCCAGUCCCGUGUUUGCAGUAAAUGAGGAAUUGCCUCAGCGGCUGCAGGGCUGAGUGAGCGCCGCCAUCUUUAUUCGGGACAACGAUUCACUGGACACGUGCGCGGCCGCCAUCUUUGUAGGGGGCAUGGUGCAGCCAGGCGCAUGUGCAGCCUUUCUCUGGUACAGAGUCAUUGUGAUGACAGCAGCCAAUCCUGCUCUGAUUCACCUCUGGGCUCCCUCAGGACCACUUUGUCAAUGUCUAGCUUCCUCAGUCUCCAACCAUGGGGAUACCAGUGAUUAAUACCAAAACCCUGUUGCCUGUGGAAAGGGUGAUGUUUGACUUUAUUAUACAGCUGCAGUUUGUGUGGUGAAGGUGCUCCCACAAUGUGGUUGGGAUCUGCUGCUGCAAACACCACCUCUGGAUUUCGCUGUGCAUACCAUUAAGCCUGGCCAUUGGGUUUUAAUCAAGCACUGGCAGCAGCGCACUCUCGAACCUGUGUGGGACGGUCCGUACCUGGUGUUGCUUACUACUGAAACCGCUAUCCGCACGGCAGAGAAAGGGUGGACUCACAACACGCGAGUCAAAGGUCCGGUUCGCUGCCCAGAUGAGAAAAAGAUCUGGACUGUCGAACCAGUGCGGGAUCCACUUAAACUCAAACUGAAGAAAAUUUGAACUGACUGUAUUGUGGGGACGUGAGUGCAAGGACUAUUUCUUCAGAAUUAUCCCAGUGAUUAAUGCCAAAGCCCUGUUGCCUGUGGAGAGGGUGAUGUUUGACUUCCUUGUACAGCUGCAGUUUGUGUGGUGAAGGUGCUCCCACAAUGUCGCUGGGUGGACAUUCAGAUGGUAACCUCAGUAUUUGUAACACCAAACUCUGACAGAAUUACUCAAUUCAUCAGGACCUGGAUAUUUGCAUUUAGUUCGAAUCCCCCUUACCUGCAACACUUUGGACUGAGAGAGGAAACCAGAGCAUCCAGAGGAAGGCCACCGCAGACACACACUUGGAGAAUGGUACUGAAAGGGUGGAUUUGUGGAUGAGAAAUUCAAAUUGAGCUUUCUGUUCAGACCCGAUGGUUACUGGAUCCGUGCCGAUCUGAAUAUCAUUGGCCUUCUCAUCUGGAAGGAAAGGGUGCUGGAUGGUGAAGAUUUACAGACUGAAAUCUCAAACUCGUGCAGAUUGUGAUUAAGUUAACCAGUGUUUGAAGAACCAAGGAUAGAGAAUCACUCAGCCAAAAUCCUGCACACUCUCCCUCGCAGCAUUGUCGGUCUCUCUGCGCCACAUAGGCUGUGAAUGGUUCAAGACAGCAGCUCACUACCAUCUUCUCAAGGGUAACUGGAGAUGGGGAAUAAAUGCUGGC
This is a long non-coding RNA of Hemiscyllium ocellatum (epaulette shark), 1409 nucleotides long. RefSeq lists it as uncharacterized. The record is from RefSeq and is a predicted model, not a curated record. Lineage: Eukaryota; Metazoa; Chordata; Chondrichthyes; Orectolobiformes; Hemiscylliidae. The transcript is spliced from 8 exons.